Molecule: ribosomal RNA, 494 nt
Filed under: uncultured bacterium
Lineage: Bacteria
Description: bacterial SSU rRNA
Rfam family: Bacterial small subunit ribosomal RNA
Source: RNAcentral
UAGUCCACGCUGUAAACGAUCAUCACUCGCUGUUGGCGAUACACAGUCAGCGGCCAAGCGAAAGCAUUAAGUGAUGCACCUAGGGAAGUACGGUCGCAAGAUUGAAACUCAAAGGAAUUGACGGGGGCCCGCACAAGCGGUGGAGCAUGUGGUUUAAUUCGAUGAUACGCGAGGAACCUUACCAGGGCUUAAAUGCAGAAUGACAGGACCAGAAAUGGUUUUUUCUCGGACAUUUUGCAAGGUGCUGCAUGGUUGUCGUCAGCUCGUGCCGUGAGGUGUCAGGUUAAGUCCUAUAACGAGCGCAACCCCUAUUUCUAGUUGCUAGCAGGUAAUGCUGAGGACUCUAGAGAAACUGCCAGCGCAAGCUGUGAGGGAAGGUGGGGGAUGGACGUCAAAUCAUCACGGGCCCUUACGUCCUGGGGCUACACACGUGCUACAAUGGUAACGACAGAGGGCAGCCACCACGCGAGUGGGAGCAAAGUCCUUAAACGUUA